CCGAGUUGUAAUUUGUAGAGGAUGCUUUUGGCGCGGUGCCUUCCGAGUUCCCUGGAACGGGACGCCUUAGAGGGUGAGAGCCCCGUACGGUUGGACACCAAGCCUCUGUAAAGCUCCUUCGACGAGUCGAGUAGCUUGGGAAUGCUGCUCUAAAUGGGAGGUAAAUUUCUUCUAAAGCUAAAUAUUGGCCAGAGACCGAUAGCGCACAAGUAGAGUGAUCGAAAGAUGAAAAGCACUUUGAAAAGAGGGUUAAACAGCACGUGAAAUUGUUGAAAGGGAAGCGUUUGCGACCAGACCUUUUCUUAGCGGAUCAUCCGGUGUUCUCACCGGUGCACUUCGCUAGGUUUAGGCCAGCAUCGGUUUCUGUAGGGGGAUAA
RNAcentral lists this ribosomal RNA (377 nucleotides) under Sordariomycetes sp. 2207 RO-2014. RNAcentral describes it as "LSU rRNA". It matches the Rfam family "Eukaryotic large subunit ribosomal RNA", at positions 138 to 522 of the family's 3401-position model. Lineage: Eukaryota; Fungi; Ascomycota; Sordariomycetes. The record is from RNAcentral.